AUUAAAAAAAUACUUGGCGAAAAAAAUAUCGGCGAAAAUCAGCCGCGUAUCGGCCGAUACCGAUACACGUGAAAAACGCGAAUAUCGGCCUAUAAUAUCGGCCGACCGAUAUAUCGGUCGAUCCCUGGUCUGUUGUUCAGUGUUGGAUGAAUCACAAACCUAAGUUGACUGGUAGUGGACACACACACACACACACACACACACACACACACACACACACACACACACACACACACACACACACACACACGUCAGUCCUCAUACUUCCAGCUCCAACUAUGAAUCAAUUAUUAACAGUCUAGAUCCAUCUGCCACAUACAUUUUAUAAUCCUCUUUUAAAUAUCCUUUCUCUGUCCAUCCUUAUCUACCGAGUUUGUCAGAACAUUGAUGUCAGCCGUCCCGGACAUGAAAGUCCGCCGGCCUCGUUCUUUUGCUGAAGAGGGAUAGAGGGAGGGAGGAAGGGCGUUUUGAUGGGGUGGAGGGAGGGACAGAGAAGGCUGUAGACCUUAAUGGAUCCAUGCUAUGUGUGUGCAAGGCAUGUCAAUCAAAUGAUCCUUCUGGGAAUGCAUGAAAACGUAUAUAUGCACAAGCGAGAAGGUAUCCCUAAACCCAUAUGUCUGCCAACGUGCGUAAUCCGAUAAGGGGAUAUGGAUAUGUUGUCAGUAUAUUGGAGUGCUACUCCUUUGGUCUGUGACACCUCCACCCUAAUCCCCAUCAGAAGUCAAUGAGCUGCUCCUCCGCAGGGCCAGUAUAAGAGGCUUAGGCUUGCGCGAUCCUGCCCCCUGUUUGCUUUACCUCCCCGCGGCUAAGCUAGCCAGUGCUAAUCUCAGCCCACAAGAGUCCAUUACCUAUCGUUAAGGAGGGUAAAAACCACACCAGACAUGACCAGCCACCAUGUCACAGUGGAAAUUGCUUAUUAAAAAUACACAUUUUUGGUGAUAGACUAGUAGCUGUCAGUCUUCUACUUGCUAAAUAGUAAUGCCUACAGGGUGACAUUUCUUUUCUUUUUGAUCCCCAAGGGUGAAUGUUCCAUUGAGAGUGUGUGUGUGUGUGUGUGUGUGUGUGUGUGUGUGUGUGUCUGUGUCUGUGUCUGUGUGUGUGUGUGUGUGUGUGUGUGUGUGUGUGUGUGUGUGUGUGUGUGUGUGUAUGUGUGUGUGUGUGUGUGUGUGUGUGUGUGUGUGUGUGUGUGUGUGUGUAAUUUCAUUGACAAUGAUAACAUCAGUGUGAUGUAACAAAUCAGUUGGCGCGUCUACAUUGACAUGAUGUGAACACAAUAAUGGCACACAACUACUGAUGUAGUUGUGUGUUGGUUUAUGUUUGUUAAAUGGUUUACCUGCCAGCUGCACAUCUGUGUAGUUUGCUCUCAUGCUAAUUAAAUUAACCCUUAGCUUAGAGUGUCACUUUGUCUGUUGGCUACUUUUAACGAAGUAAGCUAAAUAGAAAGAGUUGUAGUGUCAAGAAGUUAGCCAUUUAGCAAUUUAGCACACAAUUGGUGCAAGUUUCCUGACAACACCAUGGUCUACUUAUUCUCCAUAAAUAGAUUCUUAUUUAAAUACACUAGCAAUGAAGUGUUUGACUCUCGGUUGCGUAGCCACCUACAUGUUUAUCCGUAAUCCCCGACUCGACCACAGCGUAGGGCGUUAGAACGGUUGGGCUGCCGAAUGUUUGCAUACAGUCGUCGUCCCCCCCACCCCCCCACCCCCAGCGCUACCAAGGUGGUCUUGGAAAGCCACCAACAUCCCCUUCAGCGGCGAUGUAAUGUGAAAGCAAUUAGCAGCCUGUGGUUUUACAGUGCAGCGAGAUAUGUGUGGAACAACAGAUGGGGAUACACCCCAGCCCUAGGUACGGGGCUGUGGGCCCGUGCACUGCACCUCUCCGCUCUCACUGCCACCAGCUUCAUACAAUGUUUUGUUUUUUUGCCAAGAACAGCAAGGCUGUUAUUGCACGUCGGGGCUCAUUACCUGUGAGACAUUCAAGCUGGAUUUGGGUGUUCUAGUGAUUAUCAGAUAUAACUAAGCCCAUUUAAAGACUAAUAGGGGAUUGAGAGUUGUGAUACAGUGUGAUUUGUGAUUUGUAUCAUGUAUUGGGGUCAACAGCAGGGGUACCAAAGUCAACAGGUUGAGCCACUUGGCUACAACUACUAUCAAAUACCAGAGAAAGGUUUUGUAAUGUGCCUUUCAGCAAGGGAGAGGAACUAGUGAUUGUCUUGAGGUGAUUAAUCUACCAGUGCCAGGAAUCCAUGGGUUCAGAACAAGACAUCAGUCACCUGGUGUUCAUUUGAAUGGGAAGGAGAUUCAAAGUGAUAAGAAUCUGCAUUUGACUGAUGGAGACACACACGCACAGAAUGCACUGUCCAACACACAUGCGCAGUCCAACAUACAAGCACAGUCACACAGAUGUGAGUAAAUGCAAUGGUGUGUGUUUGUGUUUAUUGUGAGAGUGUGGGUGAGCGGGCCUUCUGCCACAUCUGGCAGCCUGCGGGAUUGAUUUUUUCUUGGUUAGUAAAUGAGGGGGGAAUACUCCCAGCUGCAAUUUAAGAAAUCCUCCAUCUGGAAUGUCUUUUGUAUAGAGACAUAGUCGCAUGCCCAUUCUCGCACAAAAAACAUUACUCCCAGAGUCAAUAAAACUUGCAUAUCGGAUCUAACAAAUCACGUUCCGUUUCUCUCGCAUGAAAAUCCUUAUCAUCCACCUAUCUUUGACCGUCUGUGUGACUGUGCUUAUUGUUAUUUUUUACAUUAACAGAUGCCUUAAAUAGCCACUGAUCCACGCCCAAAUUAUCACAGAAGGAGACAUUGAGGAGACGCAGAAUGUGUUCUUUUGGAUCGGUCUCCAUUUGGUUCUGAGGCUGAGAUAGAUAUGUCUGCUGAGAAGAUUGAGGAGAGACUGUUAAACCGUAUCGGUGGCUUUCUAUGCCAGCAUUACCAAGCAGGAAAGAUUUUAAAAUAAAUGGUACAAUGUAAAACCUGAAGGCAAUUUUUAAACAAAGGAGGAGGCUCACUUGUUGUUUUUGUUAACAACAAGUGAGCCUCCUCACUUGUUGGUCACUUUCCUACACGUCGUCGCCGCUUCAGCGUAAUUAUGUUUUCAUCAUUUGAAGACGGUAGCAUCUUCACUGACUCGGGCUGUGUGUGAAUAACAUGGAAGCCUCCUUAUCAGGUAAAGUCAUUUUCACCUACAAUGUUCCCGUUCCAGCCCCCCAGCCGCUUUGCCAACAUAUUUCUGCCUUCUAGGAGAGGGGGGGAGAGGGGGAGAGAGAGAGCCUAGAGCUGAAAAGCAGCUUUUGUCUCGGCAGCCUUUCCCUGAGGCCUUGGCCUGCAUGCAUGCUUGUGGCCCUAUCAGCAAAUCAUAAACUAUGCACAGCAGGACCCCGAGAGAGAGAGUAUGGUAGAGAAGAGGAGGAAGGAGAAGAAGGGAGGCACAGGGGUGCAGAAUAAAAAAAUAUGAAAGGGAACAAAAAGCAGCAAACACGUCAGAUAGGAUUUUCUGUGCGGGAGGAAUUCGGCGGUGGAAAAUGGCGGUCACAUGUGCUUUGUUGUGUAGGUUUAGAAGCACUAACCUUGACUUGUCUUACUGAUAAGGUGUCUGUGUGUGUUGUGUGUGCAUGGUGAGAGAGUUCUGGGGAACUGAAGGGCAAUAACAUCUCGUUGUGGCACACAUGUUUUAGAGCCAAUGUGAACGCAACGUAACCUACCGGAGGCCUGAAACCCAAAUGGAAGGAAACAUUUAAGUAUUUGUUUAACUUCAUUUGUAACUCAAUCUUACAAGACUCGCCGGUUGUGGUGCUCCAUGCCUGUCAUCUCCCACCCGGCCUCUCCCUAGCAGUUGAUCUCAGCAGUGUUUUUCCCUCCCUAUCAUUAGCUUGUCUGCACUCUUCUGCCCCCCCCCCACCCCCAUAUGACUGUUACCCUAUGGAAUCUCGUGGCUUUCUUCUGGCGUGUUCUGUCAGCAUGUUCCUGGGGCCAAACAUAACGUAAUACUGCAGUGGCCGCAGUCAGCACCGUACUGAAGGGAUGGACGUUUUCUGGGCCUUUGUUGCCAUAGGGAUAUCUUCCUGCGCAGAUACAGAACAAUUAGGGUGAAGGGAUGACCUCACCCCUCAAACUACAUGCACACCUUGGGGAGGAAAAAUGAAUAAUUUGACGCCAUAUACAUUGUGAGAUGAAAACACUGUCUGUCCCGUGAUUUUGGCCGUUUCCCGUUAAAUUAUCAGAUUUUUUUUCAGUGUUGUCUUAGUUCUCUAACCCUGUUCCCAAAGGGGGGUUUCUUCAACUUGUAUCCACAUUGUAGCGAGUUGAAAGCGGCAACACCUGCCGAAACCAGUGGUGGAUCUCUCUCCAUUCCUGCCAUGAGCAAUGAGGAGGCACAAGAAAGAGCAUAUCUUUCCUUACGCUAAAAGGGAAUACAGCCUUAUCAAUCACAGUAUGCAAAUAUUCAUACAUAUUUACAUAACUAUAAAUUGUUGGGACAAAUAAACUGUGAGCGAUGCAAGGAGGGUCAAGGUGUAAGGGCAUAAGAAUACACGCCCUUUGUAACACCGACCUGUGAUGUUUCCUACAUGUGUGAUGACUGUCUGCUAUGCCAGUUCAUCCACAUGCAGUUCAGUGAAGCAAACAAGCCAAUAAAAUGGAACGGUGAGCAAACGAGUGAGUGAAGCUGGGGGACAAUGGGGCAAGGGGGUCAAGCUAUUGUGAGGCGUGGCGACCGGGGCUGAGAAGAGGAGCAGGGGCGGGUUGUUCAUGCCUGCGGUGGGACGGAAUAGUGGGGUCCUCUUUAGUGUCAAAUGAAUAACUCCCGAACUAACACCAGAGUCCCAGGGUUCAUCAGUUAGCUGAGAGAGAGAGAGAGAGAGAGAGAGAGAGAGAGAGAGAGAGAGAGAU
This is a long non-coding RNA of Gadus morhua (Atlantic cod), 4877 nucleotides long. RefSeq lists it as uncharacterized. The record is from RefSeq and is a predicted model, not a curated record. The transcript is spliced from 2 exons. NCBI's taxonomy places the organism in Eukaryota, Metazoa, Chordata, Actinopteri, Gadiformes, Gadidae.